CAAAUACUGCAGUCCUCCAUACAUUAAAAUGGCAGAAAAAAUAAAGAGCAAAUAAGAAAAAUGCAAAAAUUGACAUUUUCAGCAAAAACUGUCAAUUUUCUCUCUCUAACAUAAUCAAGUUUCUCAAAGAAGUGAGAAACUCAUUCAUCAACCAAUACAACAAGGUUAACCGAUAUCUUAAAAAUUAGAUUUGAGGUAGAUUCACUACUCCUUGUUAAUCACCUAUUCCACAAAUAAUACACAAGAAGAAAAUGAACAAUCAGUACCUACAGAAAUUUGCAAAGAGAGUCCCAAGUGGCUUUUAAUGGAUAAAUCUACUGCUAGUUUCAAGGACGAAAGGCCUCUGUACUUUGACAGCUACCAAAUCCCAAUUCUCUUUUAGCAAACCCUUGUAGACUUGGCCGAGGGAUGCUGUCAUUAGUUUUCAAAACAUGGAGAUAAUAUAUGAGCUUUAUAUACAAGAUAAAUUCAGAGACAAAGUAUUGAGAAG
RNAcentral lists this long non-coding RNA (490 nucleotides) under Olea europaea subsp. europaea. The record is from RNAcentral. Lineage: Eukaryota; Viridiplantae; Streptophyta; Magnoliopsida; Lamiales; Oleaceae.